RNAcentral lists this ribosomal RNA (372 nucleotides) under uncultured organism. RNAcentral's name for it is "partial 16S ribosomal RNA". It matches the Rfam family "Bacterial small subunit ribosomal RNA", at positions 527 to 896 of the family's 1533-position model. The record is from RNAcentral.
GUAGGUGGCAAGCGUUGUCCGGAAUUAUUGGGCGUAAAGCGCGCGCAGGCGGUCCUUUAAGUCUGAUGUGAAAGCCCACGGGCUCAACCGUGGAGGGUCAUUGGAAACUGGGGGACUUGAGUACAGAAGAGGAAAGCGGAAUUCCACGUGUAGCGGUGAAAUGCGUAGAGAUGUGGAGGAACACCAGUGGCGAAGGCGGCUUUCUGGUCUGUAACUGACGCUGAGGCGCGAAAGCGUGGGGAGCAAACAGGAUUAGAUACCCUGGUAGUCCACGCCGUAAACGAUGAGUGCUAAGUGUUAGGGGGUUUCCGCCCCUUAGUGCUGCAGCUAACGCAUUAAGCACUCCGCCUGGGGAGUACGGCCGCAGGGCUG